AUGUGGGAAAAUGGGAGCAGCAGACUGCAGUACACAUUCUUCGGAGACGUUGUUACCUUCGAUACGACGUACAGAACAAACUUGUACAACAUGCCCUUUGGCCUCUUUGUCGGUGUGAAUAACCAUUUUCAGAGCAUCAUCCUAGCUGGGGUUUUGGUUCGUGACGAAAAAGUUGAGACCUUUGAGUGGGUUUUCACAGAGUUCGUUAGGAUGAUGGGUGGAAGUGCCCCUAAGACAAUUCUAACCGAUCAGAACCGUUCGGUGGAGGUCGCCAUAAAAAAUGUGAUGCCGCAGAUAGAGCACUGA
Molecule: ribosomal RNA, 306 nt
Filed under: Triticum aestivum (bread wheat)
Lineage: Eukaryota; Viridiplantae; Streptophyta; Magnoliopsida; Poales; Poaceae
Description: partial small subunit ribosomal RNA
Source: RNAcentral